GGUCGAGUUGUUUUCAGAAUAGAAGUACACAGCCUGCUCUGUUUACCUCCUAGUCCUGCCCUGCCAGAUCUAACCCCAUUCCUUGAUCCAAGCUAAUCCUCUCAGCUAAUCUUCCCAAUCAUGAGUGACAGCCAGGAGGAAACACAGGAAUAGUUCGAUUGUUACACCACACAUGCCCUGCCUUUCAACCAUCCAAGCCUUUCGAUGGGAGGUGAAGUCUCUGUGCUCUAAACUAACAACAAUACCAAGGCCAGAGGUCCCUGGGUGGGUUGGAGGACCAUGUGUACGACAAUGGUGGUCCUCACCACCCUCGCUCUCAUCCUGCGCCAGAGAUUCUCCAACAAAAUCAAGCCGUAAGUACUCACCUUGAGCUAUUUCUACCUUAGUUUUUUGACAGUACCACACAAUUUAAUCAGCUCUUGUCAAUAAAACAAAAAUAAAAUACUUUUAUUUUUAAUCAUUUCUAGAUUCGUAAUCAGAAAUUUCACAAAAUAUCAAUUUAACCACAAUGGGUUUGUGAUUUAAGUGCUAACUAAACAUAGCAUACUUCCAGUCAUUCUUCAAAAUACCAACACAAGCAAGUGCAUGUCUGUUUUUCAUGUGUGGGAGAGUGAGGGAGGUAGUGUGAGUCCUAUCUGCGCCUUUGAUUUCAAAUCACUCUUGUGAUUAUUUUAGGGUUUGCCUCGGGCGGCAGUGUGUGGAUUAAGUGACUCGAUACAUCACAACAGUGUCUUCCAGGUUUUUUUUAAUGGACACAUGAAUAGGGGGUAAAGCAUCUGAGCUCUUCAGCUCACAGCUGCUAAUUGACACAAAGUGCAAUCUUCUCAAGAACGCAUCCCCCCUCCCCUCUACACGACUCACCGCCUGAGCCUUGCAUUACCUUUCACACAGCUAUUGCAAAUCGGGAGCAUUGCAACAGCUAGCUUACACAAUCAGCUAAAAAAAACUAACUGCUUGUUAUUUUAAUGAGUUCAGCCACUUUGCCAGACUGUGUCCAGAUGAUAAAUAUGGAGCUGAGAAUUAUAUUUUUGUCACCUAAUACAGGCAGAAAGCGGCAGCAGAGAGAGAGGUGCCAUACAUGAGAAGCAAUGGAGCCAAUGGAGCAGCAAGCAACACAAAAUGACAAUGAGCAUCACAGGGUAAUUAUGCUCAGAGAAUCAAGUCAAUGAAAAUGACAGCAGGUGUGUGCUUUGAGUAGGGGGCAUGAGUGGGAUACCAUCUUUAUAUUUUUAUCAAACACGUCUUAGCAGCAAGGCCUGUCCUGAAAACAUUAGCACAGUGACCAAGUUCCCUCUAUAGUUGUGUAAAAGCCUCAAUACUUAUAAAAAGUUGCACUCCUGUUGAUGCACAGAACACCUAUGGUAUCAAUUUUGUGUUUACUGACUGAUUAGCAACUGAAACAACAAUGAACAGAGAAAUAUGGAGGUUAAUCUAGUUUUAUUUGGAGAUAAUACCCCUUGUUAGCUUAAGGUCGGACGCAAUGACCUAGCUACCAUCGGCACAGAGAUAUGCUCUGGAUAUUGUGUCUCUCUAUGCUAGGAAUUGUAAGCUAACAUCCUGUUUCAUAGUUUUAUAGGAAACAACCAGUCUUGGAUGUUUUAGCAAACAUUACAGUAUGCUAACUUUUAAUUUGUAUCAGGUUAACCAACUUUCUUGCUAACAUGUGAUUAACUAUCAAAAUGUUAUUUCUAAAGUGCGUAAGUGCUGACACCUUGUGCCUGCAAUUAGCAAAUAGGUUUUAGAAAUAUUGUUUAAUUUAUACAUUUGGCCAGGUUUAUCUCCAGCUUUAAUAUUCAUUUUCUUUUUAUUAGCUACUUUAAACAGAAGUGGGGAACAAACAAUAACUGUAAUUUGCUAAGCCAUUAGCUGUGGCACAUAAAAUGCUAACAAAUGUUGCUAGAAAGCCUUUUUUUACCAUGUGAUGCCACUUCCUCAUCUUCAUAUGCAUGUUCCUCUGUAGCCACACUUCAGGUGGGAGCUCAAUUGAAGAAGGAAGUUGUCUCCCAAAAGUUAACAGUACAAAAUAAAAGGCACAGAUUCAGUGCUGACAUUAGCAUUACCUACAUCAGGUCUAAGGAAUUACCUCAAUUGGCAUGACAGCUCUUGUUCCAGUAACUUGCCUAGAAUCUAGAAAAUAGAAUAAUAAAUGGCAAAUACUGUAGCUGCUAGCAUGAUGUAAUGAUGCAAUGGGUCAAGCUAUGGAGGUAUAAUGGAGGAAGAAACAAGAUCAUCAGGCUAACGGUAGCUUGUGGCUAUCUGCCCAAAGCAGUCAUUGACAAAGUAAUUCACCUUUAAUUUAGCAGAUGUAAUGCAUAGCCAGCAAUCUCUCUAAAGGUCUCUGUAACCUUUUAACACCAAGUUUGAAAAUGUGGCUUUGUUUCUAACGUAUUCAAAUUAGGGCCUAAGUUAGCAACCUUGACGUAAGCCGCCAAAAAUAGGUGUUUCGCAGUGAAACAGGACAGAGUUUGUUCUUAGCCAUGCAUGCUGAAAUCCAAAGGUUUCAAAAAUAACAGCAACACUUGCUGGUAACAGGAGAUCACUGCUUCCAAAUAAAUGUCAAAUUCUAUCCAGUUGGCCAAAAUUUCCUCAGCAGGCUACUCUACAGGCUUUUACAAUGGAAAUGUUAUAUUCUCUAUCAAACAGGAUAAUAUGGCAAAUAUGGCAUACAGUUACUCAUUUGGCGCUCAUAAAUUAAACAAAUCUAGUCACUGCGCUGUUAUUAUCCUGAGACAGGUGUGCUUUCAUGGGCUUAUAUAUCAUGUCUACACAUACGAAACAGUCUUUACAGCAUGACCUCACCCCAGUGUGUAUCAAACCCCAACAUGUGCAGAGGCACAAGGGCCCGUUCAUCAACCCUUGCAGCUUUAAUUCUAUUUAAAUCUAAUUAAACCGAUGUAAUUGUUUUAAGAAUAACUGUAAAGGCGGGAGGAAAAAGAAUAAAAGUACCUUGUUAUGCUCCCUGUUUUCCAGUUCAAAGGAAAUUACUUUGAUUUUGAAUCCAACACAACCAAUAAAACUAGGAUUUACUAAUAUGCCAUUUUUGUUGUUAGCUGGAGUCCCUGAACCUGAAGUGAGGCAAAUCCUUCAAAUGAUUCAAUAAAACCCUCGACUACACGCAGUGAUAAUCUCUCUUUAGGUUGAACGGACAGGAGACGAGUCAGGAGUUGUAGGAAGGUCCAAUGGUGAUGUAAUUCCCAGGUAUACGGGGUGAGGUGUGAAAAAGCUAAUGAAAUCACAGGGUCAUGCUCUCUGACUUAAACAAGCUUUUCCACAGGAGCAAUUAAAUCUGUACUUAAGCAAGUACUUGAGCAGAGAAAUCAGAAUUCAGGCUUUUUCUAAGAAUUUGGAGGUCAGCGUCUGACUUCUGACUGUUGAUCUCAGAAAUCUUACUCUAAAAUCAGAUUUCAAAGUUUUUUUUCUGAGAAUACAGAGAUUAAAAUCAGAAUUCUGUGAAAAAUUCAGAAUCCUUUGGCUAAUGUCUGAUCUUUUUUUUUUAAAUCAACUUGAGAUUAGAGUUAGAGUUUAAAAAAAAUGCGUUGAUAUACCAUCAGUCUGACAGGAUAUUUCUAACUUGAAAUAAAACAAAUUUACCAAGAUUUUAGUUAGCUUUUUUUCCCUUAGAACUGAUCUUGUUUUAUCUUCUGCAUAUCUUUCUUGAGACUGGCAGUGUUGAUGUUUUUUGGAGGAUUUUAGCCGUUAUGUAGCUUUAUAAUAGGUACAAUUAAACCCAUGUUGAAAAGAUGUAGGGUAGAUUAAUUUUAGAUUUAUUUUUAUUGCAAAUUCAAAAGACAGAACUGCAAACAAACACAAAACUGGAAAUUAAAGAGAGAGAAAUAAAGAGAGAAAAUAUCCAGUUGGGACAUAGGGAUCUGAAAGGUUGUGCGUCUGCGUGUCAUGUGAAGGGAGGUUUUCAGAGGGGGUCUCCAGACAAAGGGGAGAAAGUGGAGCAUGUUACCGAGGCACAGAUGCAUAAAGAGUUAAGAUGCGUGCCCCACAUUUAUCCAUGAGUAUUCAUUUCUACACUGCUAAUAUAAAUGAUUCAGAGGCAGAACAACAAUCCCUCAGCUCUUUGAAGGGUAUACUGUACCUUAAUGUAACUUCAGUUAGUGUGUUAACAUUUUACUUUAUUUGUAUUUUUUAAAUAUAAAAUAAAGACAAUAUUGCAAAUGAGAUCCAAAACGUAAACAAAGAUGAAGAAUAACCAAGAAACAAUGGAAAGCAGAAAUUCCAUUAACAAUGCAUCAGCAGAGUUCAGCAGCAAGAGGUGCAUUAACCCAUACUCCUACAUUUUUAAUCUCCAGUACUGAUAUAAUAAUGAGUCUAAAGUGGCUGAGUAGUUUGUACUAAGAUGAGUGAGCAAAAUUAAUUUAUGUAUUUGUUUGCUUGACAGGACAAAAAAGUACAAGAACCAUGGGUUUAUAAAGUAGACACAGUAGAUGUCGUGUAUAAAGGUUUCUAGCUGUGGCAAAUUUGCAGUCCGUGUCCUGCAAAACAAACAAAAAAAAGCAAGAGAAUGAGUGAAGUGUUUUUACACCACAUUCAUACACUGCUGGCGGCUGUGCAAAGCACCAUCAGUAUUGGCUAAUGGUAUUCACACAUCUCUGGUACAGCCACCGGGGGCCAUUUGGGGUUAAGUGUUUUGCUGAGGACACUUCAGCAUGUGGACAACAGGACCCGGGAUCAAACCACCAAUCUGCUAAUUGAGAGCCACAAAAACAUAACAGGUCCUGAGGAAGCAACAUAAGAGAAGAGAAGAGAAGAGAAGGCAGCAAAACAAAAGAGAAAAAAGCAGAAGUGGAUGCAAAAUAAAAUCAGAUAAGGGGGCAAAGGAAAAAACAGGCAAGGAACUAAAACAUAAACAGAUGAGGGAGCAAAAAACAUUGUGAGAAAAACAAAAGAGGGAGCAAAAUAAGAACAAAAGAGGGGACAAAUAAACAGGAAAAGGGUGAAAAUUACUACUAAUGCUAUGAGCACUAUUGAUAAUGAUAAUUUUAUAUAAAUAGCACCUUUAAAAAUAUGUAUAUAUAUACAUUAGAAGAAAAACAGAAGAAAUCAAGAAUAAACUAAAUAACAGAAGAAGUCAACAACAAAACCCUAACCUCAACAAACUACACUAUACAAACUACAUUAAAGAUCCUAUAAGAAGUUUUUUCACAUUCAUUAAUAGUCUGCAAUCCAUAUUGGUGCCUUUUGAGGCAACUGAUACUGUAAAGUGGAGGAGCGCUGAUGGAAAAAGGUUUGGUCACCCUUUGAUUCUAGACUUCAGAACAGCGGAGAGAACGCUGCCUGAGGAUCUAAGGCUCAUUGGGAAGUCCACGUUUCAGUUAUACAGCUCCGAACCAAGCUUGUAAGGCUUAAAAUGUGAUCAAUACAAUUUUAAAACCAAUUCUACAACAAAUGGGAGCAAAUGUAGGGAGGUUUAAACAAGGGUGAUGUGAUGUUGUCUGUUGUGAAGCCGUGAUGUGGCAUUCUGGACCAGUUGGAGGCAAGAGAGAGCUUUAUAUCUGAUAAGAGAGAGUUACAGUAAUCAAGUGACACUGUUUAUGACUUUAUGUCAGAGUUUAUAUUCCCUGAUGUUGAACUUUGUUGUAUUUUGUUAACAGAACUCCCUUUCAUCCAAUUUGUGUUUUUCAGUGGCCUCUGCUAUCAAGACUUCUGCCCACCCACCGGAUACAACUGGAGAGAUUUCCUGUUUUCUGUCUCUCGCUGAUCACAUUCUGAUUCAUUUGUACUUGACAGCUCAUGCCAAGACUCCCACCAGGGCUUCAAAAACAAAAGUGGGCUAGAAAAAAUAGUGGGGCCUGGUUUGAUGGAGGCUGUCCUGCAGAUGCUCUCACUGCUGAAACAGGAUACAGCAAGCCAGAGAGUCCCAGCGCGGGAAAUAAAAACAAACUCUGUGUCCUGUUGAAGCAGAGUGCACUAUCAUCAGAAAUUUUCUCCAAUUUUCUUGUCAAAAAACUUCCCCAAACAUAACAUGUGCCUCUAUUUUCUGAUUUUCUUGAAAUUAAUUGAAAUGGAUGGUGUUAAAUGUGUGUAUGAGGACAGGAUGAGCUUUGGCUGAAUUUAUGUUAAGUGACUUCAUUGCUAACGGUUGAGAUGUGUAGGUCAUAAAGCAUGGUUAGAGAGAUAGUAGAGGCAUUUUGAAAAUAUCUAUAGUAUCAAUAUUUUAUAGAAUUCACAGGGGUCAUAUAAAGCACUGAAAUGCAAGUAUGUGUGUGCUUCUGGAUGCCGACAAGAGAACAUUUCUGAUAAACACCCAGAGUGAUUUAAACUGCUUACUUUAGGUGAACACUGUGCAUAUUUCUGCUGGCACUUUUUGAGAUGGUUUGGUUUAAUCCAUUCAAAUUGUAUCCUGCUAUUGCUAUUUGUAGUGUGUCAUAUCUUCAAUAAAUAUGAUCCAUGUUUCUAAAUAAAUCUUAAAAAUGCUAUGGAAUUUCUGUCGUGGUGUUCCUCUCAAAAGUGCCUACAAUGAAGCCUUUUCUAUUGCUUUAUAAUCACUUGUGAUUGCUGAGGUUGACCAUGUUUACUGUAGUUCCAUUGAAACUUUAAGCUCAGGAUCUAAAGUCAAUUGAUUAGUUUACUUGAGGUGAACAAAGCUUGUUUUCACAUUGUAAACGGGUUAAUUUAUCUUGUUAUCCUCAUAAAACAAAGGAGCAAUCCCCUCUAAGUAAUAAGACCAUUUAACAGUCUUAUACGGUCAACGUGAAGCAAAAGUGGCCUUUGAGGACAAGAAGUUCCUGUGAUGCAUGGUCAGUAUGAUUAUCAUUUUUACCAUCAAAAACAUACCAAUAUAGAAUCUUUUGGACACAAAAAAAAACUAACAAAAAAAAAACAAAAAACUUUUUAGUCUUUGUCUCCAAAUUUGUGUGUUUUGGGCGGUUGCUCAUUAAAAAAAACACAUUUGUCUUUAGUACAUCUAUUUUGUGCCAUAGCAAAGCAUAGCAGUGCAAUUUGGCGCCCUCUGUUGAAGCCCUUUUGUCAACAAAAACAAAUCGUUUAGCUAUUAUACACAAGUAAUUAUAAUCUAAUUUAGACACACUUAUGAGUUUAAUAUUAGAUAUCUAUCAAAUCUGUUGUGCUAAAUGCUGCCAAAUACCACACCUUUGGACAAAAUUUUGGGUAAAAUCAUGACAUUGGCAUUGGCUGAAUAGUAAGGCUGAGAUAGAUAGAUACACUCACCGGCCACUUUAUUAGGUACACCAUGCUAGUAACGGGUUGGACCCCCUUUUGCCUUCAGAACUGCCUCAAUUCUUCGUGGCAUAGAUUCAACAAGGUGCUGGAAGCAUUCCUCAGAGAGCUUGGUCCAUAUUGACAUGACGGCAUCACACAGUUGCCGCAGAUUUGUCGGCUGCACAUCCAUGAUGCAAAUCUCCCGUUCCACCACAUUCCAAAGAUGCUCUAUUGGAUUGAGAUCUGGUGACUGUGGAGGCCAUUUGAGUACAGUGAACUCAUUGUCAUGUUCAAGAAACCAGUCUGAGAUGAUUCCAGCUUUAUGACAUGGCGCAUUAUCCUGCUGAAAGUAGCCAUCAGAAGUUGGGUACAUUGUGGUCAUAAAGGGAUGGACAUGGUCAGCAACAAUACUCAGGUAGGCUGUGGCGUUGCAACGAUGCUCAAUUGAUACCAAGGGGCCCAAAGAGUGCCAAGAAAAUAUUCCCCACACCAUGACACCACCACCACCAGCCUGAACCGUUGAUACAAGGCAGGAUGGAUCCAUGCUUUCAUGUUGUUGACGCCAAAUUCUGACCCUACCAUCCAAAUGUCGCAGCAGAAAUCGAGACUCAUCAGACCAGGCAACGUUUUUCCAAUCUUCUAGUGUCCAAUUUCGAUGAGCUUGUGCAAAUUGUAGCCUCAGUUUCCUGUUCUUAGCUGAAAGGAGUGGCACCCGGCGUGGUCUUCUGCUGCUGUAGCCCAUCUGCCUCAAAGUUCGACGUACUGUGUGUUCAGAGAUGCUCUUCUGCCUACCUUGGUUGUAACGGGUGGUUAUUUGAGUCACUGUUGCCUUUUUAUCAGCUCGAACCGGUCUGGCCAUUCUCCUCUGACCUCUGGCAUCAACAAGGCAUUUCCGCCCACAAAACUGCCGCUCACUGGAUAUUUUUUCUUUUUCGGACCAUUCUCUGUAAACCCUAGAGAUGGUUGUGUGUGAAAAUCCCAGUAGAUCAGCAGUUUCUGAAAUACUCAGACCAGCCC
This 8187-nucleotide long non-coding RNA is filed under the name Xyrichtys novacula (pearly razorfish). Lineage: Eukaryota; Metazoa; Chordata; Actinopteri; Labriformes; Labridae. The record is from RNAcentral.